Pygocentrus nattereri (red-bellied piranha) is the source of this 3733-nucleotide long non-coding RNA. Lineage: Eukaryota; Metazoa; Chordata; Actinopteri; Characiformes; Serrasalmidae. The record is from Ensembl.
GGGGAAUAAGGUUCAAGGCCUCUUCAGAUAUUGCACCCCUCGGUAUGCGGAGUGAGGUAAGCACCUAGCAGUAUUUAAGUGUUUUGUAGAGUUGAGGUGUAUGUUUUUUGUUCUGUCUAACUUAUCGCAAUAGCGCUAAACCCACCUGCUUUAAGGCACGUAGCUUGUAUUGCUAGGUAAAAACGUUAAGCUUGUUAUAUAUGAACUUGUGGAAAUUAUAAGCAUGUAUUUUUUGUAUUUUCUGUAUCUUAUAGUUUUCACGGUGCUCGUGAGAGUGUUCAGCAAGCUGAAUAAAAUAAAGCACCCGUUUAGAGACUCUGCGUUGCUUCAUGAAGCCAAGGGCUGCUACAUAUUUCAUGUUAAAACAAGAAAACAUGACAUGAAAGGUGGAUGUUGAACUGACUGAAGGUACCAAACAUCCAACGCACACAACAAAGAUCAAAGUCGAGGACCAGCACUAACUAAUUACCAAGAACACUAAACUCUCUGAAUCUGUAAAUGCUAAGCUCCAUAGAGAUCAAGGGGGAAAUGCUUGGUUCUUCAUUUCUAUAAUUAUUUAUAUUUAUUUUGUGUUAAAGUAGAAGAGGAGAUGUUUCAGGCGAUGGACCCAGAUGACCAUCUGGACACAGAGAUUGAAUAUCUGGGUAAGAAACAAAUAAGAAACAAAUACAAUAACAAGUUACAAUCACAGAGAUAUCACUUUAAAAAUAUUCAUUUAUAAUGAAAUACUGCAAGAUAUUUGUUCAUUUGUCUAAAAUAAAGCUGUUUACAUGGUUGUUGAUUUGUACCAUGGUGAUAUUUAAUUUUGUUAAAGCUGAAGACGAAACGACAGAGGCAACACUCACGGAAGUCGAAGCUAUUAAAGAACUAAUGCUCCUUUUCAUUGAGAAGAUCGAGGCCGAAUCGCUGGGAUGUGACGUGAUGAGCUCUGCAGAUACUGAGGCUGAAGCCUCAACACACAACAUGCAGACCCAUCUGGAUGAAACUGACCCAUCUAAUGACCAACUGCUGGAUGUGGAAAAGAACUCAAAUGGCAAAGCAGUUUGGAACACCAUUAAAGGUCUGAUGGUAGAUCUGCUUUAUGAUGUCCAGAGAACAGUUGACCAGAGUCUCGGUGAGUAAAAGAAACAUAGAUAUUAAGAACAUUAGAAGCUAUACAGUUGCUAAGUCUUUCAAAAUCUGAAGCAGGAAAUGAGUCGCACAAGGACGCUGACAUAGAAGUUGAGAAUGAUGACAUAAACAAACUGACGGACACUCAGCUGGACGACACAAAGACUACUUUCAAUCAAGCCCUUGGUACGUAAGACAAACCAUAAUAUAUUAAGAACGAAGAGGUUAAACUCUGACUAAGAAACCAAAAGACCUACUUCAAAUGUCACACGAACAUUCAAAAACUGAAAUAAUCAAAUCUCUUUUUUAUUGGAAAAUCCGUUUUAUUGCAGGAAAAGACGGGAAUGACAGUUGAUCCUGUACCCAUUAAAAGUUGGGCUGAUAUGGUGGAUAAGACUGAAGGAAACAUCAACCAGACUGGUGAGUAAAAUGUACAGAUGCCACUGAUCUGAUACGGGUGUCUGUAUCUGUAAUUAAACAAAUGUUAACAACUUUAAUCAUUGAAAUAUUAGGCACAAAUUCUUCCAGGUUAGAUUACUGGAGAUGAGCUUUGGUGCUGAUUUCUCUGAUUUUCUUUCUACCAGCUGAAAUUGAAGCAUUGAAGAAAGACACUCCUGAGAAUGAGACCAAAAGAGAUAAAAAAAGAAGAACACCAGGAGAGGAACAUGCGGCAAGGGUCGAAAAAUAAAUUACAAAAAGGACCAAGAAGAAAAAAAAUCAUGUAGAUGAAGAGAACAGCAUGACACCAUCAAAAGACAGAGGCAUCACAUCAGUGGAGACAUGAACUAGGAUAUGGAAUGAGAAGAACACAGACAGAGAACUCAGCACCUGAAACUGAUCCUCAUCAGCAGAGGAGGGCACAGAGAAAGGAGGCGAGGCGAGAAACAUAUCAUUGGACAAGAGAACAUCUGUAGAAGAUCCUACAAGCCCCUCCUGAGGAAAAGAGUGCUCCACAGAAAGACAUCAGUUAGAAGGGAGAAGUGACUACGGCUAAAAUCAGGCAGAGAGACAGAGGAACCCAUUCGGUCGGACGCAGAACUGAUGACUAUGGCUGGAGAUGAGCUGCCCAGUGCUGGAAGACAGAAUCCAGAUUCCAGAGGAGAGACGCUCCACAAACUCCUUCAUGCAACGGAGGAUGUGUGAGCGAAAGAAGAAUGAGAGGAAAUCCUGCUCAGUCUGCUCCUGCAUGCACACAUUGACAGAAAUGACUGGACACUGAAAACACCACACUGGUGGCAGCAUGAUGACCGCUCUGCAUGAUGACCCUGAUGAAAUACAGACUGCAGAGAGACACCAGAAUAAGAAAUGGAGGAAUGGAAACAGGCAGUGGAAGAGUGGGAGAAGAACUGAUGCUUAAUACUGACCACUGAAGAAAACCUUUAGAGCAGCCUGAGAAUUAAGUCAGUGGAGACAUCAGCAAGGAUUUGGAAAAAGAAGAACAGUCAGAGAACUCAGGAACCUGUGAAAGAGCACCUGAAACUGAUCCUCAUCAAUAGAGGAGGGCACAGAGAAAGGAGGAUAGGAGACAAAUACGUUAUUUGAAAGCAGGACAUCUGCAACCUCUCCUGAGGAAAAGAGUGCUCCACAAAAUGACUGCAGAAAGAACAGAGAAGAACACAGCUAGAGAAGUCCAAAAUCUGUGAAAGAGCACCUGGAACUGUUCCUCAUCAGCAGAGAAGAAUAUCCCUCCUGAGGAAAAGAGUGCUCCACAGAACGACUGCAGAAAAAACAGAGAAGAACACAGCUAGAGAACUCCCGAACCUGUGAAAGAGCACCUGAAACUGAUCCUCAUCAGCAGAGGAGAACAUCCCUCCUGAGGAAAAGAGUGCUCCACAGAGAGCCAUAAUCAUCACUCCACAGAGCUGAUACAGACUUUUAACUCUACUUUUAUGCUACAGCCAAUCAAAUACAUCUCUUGGACAGCAGCCCCACUGGAGUGAAAUAAGCAGUACAACACUUUUCAACCUCUAAAACCAAUAAAAGUCUUUCAGAAGACUCUUUUGGAGCCUUUCAUUAGUCAGGGUUUUGCUUUUCUAACGCAGUUUCAGCCAUUUUAUUGAAUAAUCUGAAGGCUGCAAUCAAUUCAGUGGAAAGUGUAAACUAGUGCCUACAAAGCGCAGUUACAGUACACAGAGUACUAAGUGGAUGAGGAACAGGUGGAUUCCACUAUUCCACUCUGAGCUUCACUCAGGGAUCCUCUACAUUCCUGUGCUUGUUGAUAAGGGUGGGCAAUACGAUAACAUCUAGUGUUAUUGUGAUAAUAUUUGUCAAAUUAUGUUUUGAGAUGUCAACUGUUUUCAGUUCUCAUGACUCAAAAAAUAACAGCAAAUGGCCUUAAUGGCAUCCCCAAUGUCCCAUUCCUGGGACAGGACACUAGUGUUUAUGUCACUAAGGUAUGUAAAAUAGGAUCUGGGUCCCUGAGAAAGCUGACCAUGACACUAUCUAAGGCACUGAGAACACUGACUUUUGUUACAUUGGUACCAAGGGUCCUGGUGGGGGUCAGUGGCAAAGUCAAACAGUGUGUGUCAUCAGAAUAAAUUAAAUGCCAAACACAACAGGUUCAGUUUGGGUUUUAUUUUGUGUUUUGGUCAGUGAAUGUAAUCAUGAGCCAUAGGCAGUGAAG